Molecule: ribosomal RNA, 406 nt
Filed under: uncultured bacterium
Lineage: Bacteria
Description: partial 16S ribosomal RNA
Rfam family: Bacterial small subunit ribosomal RNA
Source: RNAcentral
AAUGAACGCUGGCGGCAGGCCUAACACAUGCAAGUCGAACGAGUGGCGGACGGGUGAGUAAUGUAUGGGAAACUGCCCGAUAGAGGGGGAUAACUACUGGAAACGGUAGCUAAUACCGCAUACCAUCGGAUGUACCCAUAUGGGAUUAGCUAGUAGGUGGGGUAAAGGCUCACCUAGGCGACGAUCCCUAGCUGGUCUGAGAGGAUGAACAGCCACACGGGAACUGAGACACGGUCCAGACUCCUACGGGAGGCAGCAGUGGGGAAUAGUGCACAAUGGGCGCAAGCCUGAUGCAGCCAUGCCGCGGGUAUGAAGAAGGCCUUCGGGUUGUAAAGUACUUUCAGCGGGGAGGCGUUACCCGCAGAAGAAGCACCGGCUAACUCCGUGCCAGCAGCCGCGGUAAUAC